ACGGGUGAGUAACACGUAGGCAACCUGCCCUCAAGCUUGGGACAACUACCGGAAACGGUAGCUAAUACCGAAUACUUGUUUUCUUCGCCUGAAGAGAACUGGAAAGACGGAGCAAUCUGUCACUUGGGGAUGGGCCUGCGGCGCAUUAGCUAGUUGGUGAGGUAACGGCUCACCAAGGCGACGAUGCGUAGCCGACCUGAGAGGGUGAUCGGCCACACUGGGACUGAGACACGGCCCAGACUCCUACGGGAGGCAGCAGUAGGGAAUCUUCCGCAAUGGGCGAAAGCCUGACGGAGCAAUGCCGCGUGAGUGAUGAAGGUUUUCGGAUCGUAAAGCUCUGUUGCCAGGGAAGAACGCUUGAGAGAGUAACUGCUCUUAAGGUGACGGUACCUGAGAAGAAAGCCCCGGCUAACUACGUGCCAGCAGCCGCGGUAAUACGUAGGGGGCAAGCGUUGUCCGGAAUUAUUGGGCGUAAAGCGCGCGCAGGCGGUCAUGUAAGUCUGGUGUUUAAUCCCGGGGCUCAACCCCGGAUCGCACUGGAAACUGCGUGACUUGAGUGCAGAAGAGGAGAGUGGAAUU
This 579-nucleotide ribosomal RNA is filed under the name uncultured bacterium. RNAcentral's name for it is "bacterial SSU rRNA". It matches the Rfam family "Bacterial small subunit ribosomal RNA", at positions 102 to 668 of the family's 1533-position model. The record is from RNAcentral.